UACGUAGGUGGCAAGCGUUGUCCGGAUUUAUUGGGCGUAAAGGGAGCGCAGGUGGUUUCUUAAGUCUGAUGUGAAAGCCCACGGCUUAACCGUGGAGGGUCAUUGGAAACUGGGGAACUUGAGUGCAGAAGAGGAAAGUGGAAUUCCAUGUGUAGCGGUGAAAUGCGUAGAUAUAUGGAGGAACACCAGUGGCGAAGGCGACUUUCUGGUCUAUUAUUGACGCUGAGGCUCGAAAGCAUGGGUAGCAAACAGGAUUAGAUACCCCGGUAGU
RNAcentral lists this ribosomal RNA (271 nucleotides) under uncultured prokaryote. RNAcentral describes it as "partial 16S ribosomal RNA". It matches the Rfam family "Bacterial small subunit ribosomal RNA", at positions 524 to 794 of the family's 1533-position model. The record is from RNAcentral.